Seriola dumerili (greater amberjack) is the source of this 154-nucleotide long non-coding RNA. RefSeq lists it as uncharacterized. Lineage: Eukaryota; Metazoa; Chordata; Actinopteri; Carangiformes; Carangidae. The record is from RefSeq and is a predicted model, not a curated record. The transcript has 3 exons.
AGCUGGUUGUACCACUGUCCUUAAUGUUGUGAAAAAAGUCCAACACAACAAGACGAGGACAGAUGAUGUCAUGACCACCACCUCGCCACCAAACCCUGAUGCUCAGACAGUGAGUGUCGGUGCCGUUGUUGGUGGAGUUCUCGGUGCUGUUAUU